GAUUGCCUCAGUAACGGCGAGUGAAGCGGCANCAGCUCAAAUUUGAAAUCUGGCCCCAGGCCCGAGUUGUAAUUUGCAGAGGAUGCUUUUGGCGAGGUGCCUUCCGAGUUCCCUGGAACGGGACGCCAUAGAGGGUGAGAGCCCCGUACGGUUGGACACCAAGUCUUUGUAAAGCUCCUUCGACGAGUCGAGUAGUUUGGGAAUGCUGCUCAAAAUGGGAGGUAUAUUUCUUCUAAAGCUAAAUAUUGGCCAGAGACCGAUAGCGCACAAGUAGAGUGAUCGAAAGAUGAAAAGCACUUUGAAAAGAGGGUUAAACAGCACGUGAAAUUGUUAAAAGGGAAGCGCUUAUGACCAGACUUGCGCCCGGUGAAUCACCCAGCUCUCGCGGCUGGGGCACUUUGCCGGCUCAGGCCAGCAUCAGCUCGCUGUCGGGGACAAAAGCUUCGGGAACGUAGCUCUCUUCGGGGAGUGUUAUAGCCCGUUGCAUAAUACCCUUCGGCGGGCUGAGGUACGCGCUCCGCAAGGAUGCUG
RNAcentral lists this ribosomal RNA (531 nucleotides) under uncultured fungus. Its description in RNAcentral is "eukaryotic LSU rRNA". It matches the Rfam family "Eukaryotic large subunit ribosomal RNA", at positions 73 to 628 of the family's 3401-position model. Lineage: Eukaryota; Fungi. The record is from RNAcentral.